RNAcentral lists this ribosomal RNA (501 nucleotides) under uncultured bacterium. RNAcentral's name for it is "partial 16S ribosomal RNA". It matches the Rfam family "Bacterial small subunit ribosomal RNA", at positions 30 to 523 of the family's 1533-position model. The record is from RNAcentral.
AUUGAACGCUGGCGGCAGGCUUAACACAUGCAAGUCGAGCGGGGGAAGGUAGCUUGCUACCGGACCUAGCGGCGGACGGGUGAGUAAUGCUUAGGAAUCUGCCUAUUAGUGGGGGACAACAUCUCGAAAGGGAUGCUAAUACCGCAUACGUCCUACGGGGGAAAGCAGGGGAUCUUCGGACCUUGCGCUAAUAGAUGAGCCUAAGUCGGAUUAGCUAGUUGGUGGGGUAAAGGCCUACCAAGGCGACGAUCUGUAGCGGGUCUGAGAGGAUGAUCCGACACACUGGGACUGAGACACGGCCCAGACUCCUACGGGAGGCAGCAGUGGGGAAUAUUGGACAAUGGGGGGAACCCUGAUCCAGCCAUGCCGCGUGUGUGAAGAAGGCCUUAUGGUUGUAAAGCACUUUAAGCGAGGAGGAGGCUACUCUAGUUAAUACCUAGGGAUAGUGGACGUUACUCGCAGAAUAAGCACCGGCUAACUCUGUGCCAGCCGCCGCGGUAA